GGAGUCUGGGCCGUGUCUCAGUCCCAAUGUGGCCGUUCACCCUCUCAGGCCGGCUACUGAUCGUCGCUUUGGUGGGCCGUUACCCCGCCAACUGGCUAAUCAGACGCGGACCCAUCCCGUACCGAUGAAUCUUUUCACACAGGGGGAGGCCCCCUCGUGCGCUUAUGCGGUAUUACCAGCCGUUUCCAGCUGCUAUCCCCCAGUACGGGGCAGGUUAUCCACGCGUUACUCACCCGUCCGCCACUAUGAUAUAUUUCAGACCGAAAUCAUCUAUAUAUCACCGUUCGACUUGCAUGUGUUAGGCACGCCGCCAGCGUUCAUC
Molecule: ribosomal RNA, 322 nt
Filed under: uncultured Butyrivibrio sp.
Lineage: Bacteria; Bacillati; Bacillota; Clostridia; Lachnospirales; Lachnospiraceae
Description: partial 16S ribosomal RNA
Source: RNAcentral